GAGAAGUCAACAUGCGGUGAAAAGACCACAAACAAUCUCUCCUCCGGCUGCCUGCGCCGGAAGUAUCCCGUUGUUUGUCAGCCUUGCCGCCCCCACCCCCACCGCCACCCCCAACCCGCCCCUGCACAGGGAGCCGACGAGAACUGGCCCAACACCCACCCGGAAGAGCCCUCCCGUCCAAGAGCCGACGGUCCGCCCACGGAGAUGAGCCACCGGAAAUGACUCGAGAAUGAACGGCCACCAGGGAUGUGCCCCACAUUGAAGGUGCACCCAGGACCCCACCCAGACCCCACCCUCCAAUCUGAGCUCCCACAGACCCCUUCAGACGCGAGCGCUGCUUCCCCUCACCCACAAGCCCCAGAGCCCACCAUCCUCCAGAGCAUCACGAGGCAUCUAACUGACCUCAGCAUGGCCUCCCAGCAGCCAAGGGCCCGGAGCAUAAUGAGAAGGUUCUGUGAAAGGAAACUUUAAAAUAUUCAAAGAAGGGACCAGGUGCUCCUUUGGGUCCAGAGCCCCCAGCCCUGCAGGGCAGAGGGGCAGCCCCUGUGACCACUGUGUGACCACCAGUGAGCCCAAAUGCCAGGAAAGAGAACCAGCGAUCCCAGAAAAUAGACAAUGGAGAACUCCCGCCCCCUAUUUUGACCAGACUGCCACCUCCCUGCCAAGAACCAGGGCUGGCCCCUCCCUCCACCCAGCAAUACC
This is a long non-coding RNA of Neofelis nebulosa (Clouded leopard), 702 nucleotides long. RefSeq lists it as uncharacterized. NCBI's taxonomy places the organism in Eukaryota, Metazoa, Chordata, Mammalia, Carnivora, Felidae. The record is from RefSeq and is a predicted model, not a curated record. The transcript is spliced from 3 exons.